GUGCCAGCAGCCGCGGUAAUACGGAGGGUGCGAGCGUUAAUCGGAAUUACUGGGCGUAAAGACGCAUGCAGGUGGUUUGUUAAGUCAGAUGUGAAAGACCCGGGGCGUCAACCUCGGAAUAGCAUUUGAAACUGGCAGACUAGAGUACUGUAGAGGGGGGUAGGAAUUUCAGGUGUAGCGGUGAAAUGCGUAGAGAUCUGAAGGAAUACCGGUGGCGAAGGCGGCCCCCUCGGACAGAUACUGACACUCAGAUGCGAAAGCGUGGGGAGCAAACAGGAUUAGAUACCCCUGGUAG
Molecule: ribosomal RNA, 295 nt
Filed under: uncultured bacterium
Lineage: Bacteria
Description: partial 16S ribosomal RNA
Rfam family: Bacterial small subunit ribosomal RNA
Source: RNAcentral